CCUACGGGAGGCAGCAGUAAGGAAUAUUGGUCAAUGGAGGCAACUCUGAACCAGCCAUGCCGCGUGCAGGAAGAAGGCCCUAUGGGUCGUAAACUGCUUUUGUACCAGAGAAAACCCGAGUACGUGUACUCGGUUGAUAGUAUGGUAAGAAUAAGCAUCGGCUAACUUCGUGCCAGCAGCCGCGGUAAGACGAAGGAUGCAAGCGUUAUCCGGAUUCAUUGGGUUUAAAGGGUGCGUAGGCGGACUGGUAAGUCAGUGGUGAAAUCUCUCAGCUUAACUGAGAAACUGCCAUUGAUACUGUUAGUCUAGAGUAUAGAUGACGUUGGCGGAAUAUGACAUGUAGUGGUGAAAUACUUAGAUAUGUCAUAGAACACCGAUUGCGAAGGCAGCUAACGAAACUAUAACUGACGCUGAGGCACGAAAGUGCGGGGAUCAAACAGGAUUAGAUACCCUGGUAGUCCGCACCGUAAACGAUGAUUACUCGUUGUUGGCAAUAUGACCGUCAGCGACCAAGCGAAAGCGAUAAGUAAUCCACCUGGGGAGUACGCCGGCAACGGUGAAACUCAAAUGAAUUGACGGCGNGAGAGNGCGAGGACGACGACGAGGGAGGAGG
RNAcentral lists this ribosomal RNA (613 nucleotides) under uncultured bacterium. Its description in RNAcentral is "bacterial SSU rRNA". It matches the Rfam family "Bacterial small subunit ribosomal RNA", at positions 338 to 951 of the family's 1533-position model. The record is from RNAcentral.